GACGAACGCUGGCGGCGUGCCUAAUACAUGCAAGUAGAACGCUGAAGGAGGAGCUUGCUCUUCUGGAUGAGUUGCGAACGGGUGAGUAACGCGUAGGUAACCUGCCUGGUAGCGGGGGAUAACUAUUGGAAACGAUAGCUAAUACCGCAUAACAGUAGAUGUUGCAUGACAUUUACUUAAAAGGUGCAAUUGCAUCACUACCAGAUGGACCUGCGUUGUAUUAGCUAGUUGGUGGGGUAACGGCUCACCAAGGCGACGAUACAUAGCCGACCUGAGAGGGUGAUCGGCCACACUGGGACUGAGACACGGCCCAGACUCCUACGGGAGGCAGCAGUAGGGAAUCUUCGGCAAUGGACGGAAGUCUGACCGAGCAACGCCGCGUGAGUGAAGAAGGUUUUCGGAUCGUAAAGCUCUGUUGUAAGAGAAGAGCGAGUGUGAGAGUGGAAAGUUCACACUGUGACGGUAUCUUACCAGAAAGGGACGGCUAACUACGUG
Molecule: ribosomal RNA, 495 nt
Filed under: uncultured bacterium
Lineage: Bacteria
Description: partial 16S ribosomal RNA
Rfam family: Bacterial small subunit ribosomal RNA
Source: RNAcentral